UCCGGAAUUACUGGGCGUAAAGGGCUCGUAGGUGGUUUGUCGCGUCGUCUGUGAAAUUCCGGGGCUUAACUCCGGGCGUGCAGGCGAUACGGGCAUAACUUGAGUACUGUAGGGGUAACUGGAAUUCCUGGUGUAGCGGUGAAAUGCGCAGAUAUCAGGAGGAACACCGAUGGCGAAGGCAGGUUACUGGGCAGUUACUGACGCUGAGGAGCGAAAGCAUGGGUAGCGAACAGGAUUAGAUACCCUGGUAGUCCAUGCCGUAAACGGUGGGCGCUAGGUGUGAGGGUCUUUUCACGACUUUCGUGCCGUAGCUAACGCAUUAAGCGCCCCGCCUGGGGAGUACGGCCGCAAGGCUAAAACUCAAAGGAAUUGACGGGGGCCCGCACAAGCGGCGGAGCAUGUGGAUUAAUUCGAUGCAACGCGAAGAACCUUACCUGGGCUUGACAUACACCGGAUUGGGCUAGAGAUAGUCUUUCCCUUUGUGGCUGGUGUACAGGUGGUGCAUGGUUGUCGUCAGCUCGUGUCGUGAGAUGUUGGGUUAAGUCCCGCAACGAGCGCAACCCUUGUCUUAUGUUGCCAGCAUUUGGUUGGGGACUCAUGAGAGACUGCCGGGGUCAACUCGGAGGAAGGUGGGGAUGACGUCAAAUCAUCAUGCCCCUUAUGUCCAGGGCUUCACACAUGCUACAAUGGUCGGUACAACGCGCAGCGACACUGUGAGGUGGAGCGAAUCGCUGAAAGCCGGCCUUAGUUCGGAUUGGGGUCUGCAAC
Molecule: ribosomal RNA, 768 nt
Filed under: uncultured bacterium
Lineage: Bacteria
Description: bacterial SSU rRNA
Rfam family: Bacterial small subunit ribosomal RNA
Source: RNAcentral